Molecule: long non-coding RNA, 377 nt
Filed under: Vigna radiata
Lineage: Eukaryota; Viridiplantae; Streptophyta; Magnoliopsida; Fabales; Fabaceae
Description: long non-coding RNA (VRAD_LNC016016)
Source: RNAcentral
AAGUCACAAGAAAUAAAAUUGUCAUUCAUCUUAAACAAUCAAUAUCUUUACAUGCAAAUGCCAUCAAAAGGACUUUCCAAGACUUUCCAAAAGAAGAAUUGGUUUUUCUGGAAUGCAAAAUCCUUGAGUCAAGAGAGCUCUAAUAGUAUUCCUCAAUUAAGCACAACUCUCUUCCUCAUCAAUCUCACUCAUUCCCAACUUCUUUCCCUUCUCUUUUUCAUUGAGCUCAUCUUCAUGCUUUUUCUUAUUCUUUUCUUUUUCACAUGCAUUUUUCUUUUUCAACAAUUGAGCUCAAUGCUUCUUAACAGCUUUUCAAUUUCCCCCAUGCAACCCCAAACUUGAACCUUUUCAUCACAUACAGUUAAGCUCAUCCCAAC